UGCGUAGGUGGUUUCUUAAGUCAGAGGUGAAAGGCUACUGCUCAACCGUAGUAAGCCUUUGAAACUGGGAAACUUGAGUGCAGGAGAGGAGAGUGGAAUUCCUAGUGUAGCGGUGAAAUGCGUAGAUAUUAGGAGGAACACCAGUUGCGAAGGCGGCUCUCUGGACUGUAACUGACACUGAGGCACGAAAGCGUGGGGAGCAAACA
RNAcentral lists this ribosomal RNA (206 nucleotides) under uncultured Peptostreptococcaceae bacterium. Its description in RNAcentral is "partial 16S ribosomal RNA". It matches the Rfam family "Bacterial small subunit ribosomal RNA", at positions 568 to 774 of the family's 1533-position model. The record is from RNAcentral. Lineage: Bacteria; Bacillati; Bacillota; Clostridia; Peptostreptococcales; Peptostreptococcaceae.